RNAcentral lists this ribosomal RNA (421 nucleotides) under uncultured bacterium. Its description in RNAcentral is "bacterial SSU rRNA". It matches the Rfam family "Bacterial small subunit ribosomal RNA", at positions 355 to 776 of the family's 1533-position model. The record is from RNAcentral.
UGAGGAAUAUUGCGCAAUGGCCGAAAGGCUGACGCAGCGACGCCGCGUGGAGGAUGAAAUCCGUUAGGAUGUAAACUCCUUUUGCCGGGGAAGAAUGUCCGCCUAUGGCGGAGGUGACGGUACCUGGCGAAUAAGGAUCGGCUAACUACGUGCCAGCAGCCGCGGUAAUACGUAGGAUCCAAGCGUUGUCCGGAAUUACUGGGUGUAAAGGGCGUGUAGGUGGGCUUCUAAGUCGGUGGUGAAAUCCUGCAGCUUAACUGUAGAACUGCCAUUGAUACUGGAAGUCUUGAGUACGGCAGAGGGAGAUAGAAUUCAUGGUGUAGCGGUGAAAUGUGUAGAUAUCAUGAAGAAUACCAGUUGCGAAGGCGGUCUCCUGGUCCGUUACUGACACUGAGGCGCGAAAGCGUGGGGAGCAAACAGG